Molecule: ribosomal RNA, 497 nt
Filed under: uncultured bacterium
Lineage: Bacteria
Description: partial 16S ribosomal RNA
Rfam family: Bacterial small subunit ribosomal RNA
Source: RNAcentral
GAUGAACGCUGGCGGCGUGCCUAAUACAUGCAAGUCGAGCGAACGGACGAGAAGCUUGCUUCUCUGAUGUUAGCGGCGGACGGGUGAGUAACACGUGGAUAACCUACCUAUAAGACUGGGAUAACUUCGGGAAACCGGAGCUAAUACCGGAUAAUAUUUUGAACCGCAUGGUUCAAAAGUGAAAGACGGUCUUGCUGUCACUUAUAGAUGGAUCCGCGCUGCAUUAGCUAGUUGGUAAGGUAACGGCUUACCAAGGCAACGAUGCAUAGCCGACCUGAGAGGGGGAUCGGCCACACUGGAACUGAGACACGGUCCAGACUCCUACGGGAGGCAGCAGUAGGGAAUCUGCCGCAAUGGGCGGAAGCCUGACGGAGCAACGCCGCGUGAGUGAUGAAGGUCUUCGGAUCGUAAAACUCUGUUAGUAGGGAAGAACAUAUGUGUAAGUAACUGUGCACAGCUUGACGGUACCUAAUCAGAAAGCCACGGCUAACUACGUG